RNAcentral lists this ribosomal RNA (503 nucleotides) under uncultured bacterium. RNAcentral's name for it is "partial 16S ribosomal RNA". It matches the Rfam family "Bacterial small subunit ribosomal RNA", at positions 28 to 507 of the family's 1533-position model. The record is from RNAcentral.
GACGAACGCUGGCGGCGUGCUUAACACAUGCAAGUCGAACGGUGAAGCGCUUGCCUUUUUGGUGGGUGUGGAUGAGUGGCGAACGGGUGAGUAACACGUGAGUAACCUGCCCUCUUCUUCUGGAUAACCUCAUGAAAGUGGGGCUAAUACGGGGUAUUCCGGGUCUGUCGCAUGGCGGGUUUGGGAAAGAUUGCGCCUUUGGGUGUUUUCGGUGGGGAUGGGCUCGCGGCCUAUCAGCUUGUUGGUGGGGUGAUGGCCUACCAAGGCGGUGACGGGUAGCCGGCCUGAGAGGGUGGACGGCCACACUGGGACUGAGACACGGCCCAGACUCCUGCGGGAGGCAGCAGUGGGGAAUAUUGCACAAUGGGCGCAAGCCUGAUGCAGCGACGCCGCGUGAGGGAUGGAGGCCUUCGGGUUGUGAACCUCUUUCGCCAGUGAAGCAGGCCUGCUCCUGUGUGGGUGGGUUGACGGUAGCUGGAUAAGAAGCGCCGGCUAACUACGUG